Non-coding RNA from Paramuricea clavata, 3235 nucleotides. The record is from the annotation of a GenBank genome assembly. NCBI's taxonomy places the organism in Eukaryota, Metazoa, Cnidaria, Anthozoa, Malacalcyonacea, Plexauridae.
GGUAUCGCCCAUCACUAUCGAUCACACCGCCAUAUUUUUGAAAUGCAGUGAAUUUUCAUCUGCUCGAUCGAAAGAUUUAUAGUAUUUUACUGGAAGAUGGUAUAUUUUAGCGAAGAUGGAACAUUAGGGAUGACUGAGUAACUUCCAGGUAAGAAUAUUGUUUUGUUUUCUAUAUAACAGAGUAAUUUUGAAAGGAAAUAUUUACUAUCUUUAUUCGUGAAUUUUGAGCAUGUGUUCCGUCUUAAAAUUUGAAUUCGCUGCGACAAUAUAAAUACAGUAGUUUUUAUACAAAGGCUUACAUUUGACUUAGCCUUUAUAUCAAAUUAUGUUUGUUGUAAUGCUAAAUAGACUAGUUGUGUAUAUGACGGAUUGCCAGAUCAAGUGUUCCAUGUAUAAAAUAAUAUAGCUUGGCAUCUACUUGAUCUUCUCGAUUCUCAUAUGCCUACCUAGGUAUGUCCUAGGUAAACAUGGUUUGAGAGAAUUUAUCGAUUUGUUUCCAAUUAACUGGUACUUUCAUAAGUUUCUAUUAAUAUUUAUUCAUAUAUAGGUGGGUCAGUUUAGAUAAAAGUUGUCAAUUUGAUGGGUUGUGUGGCAACUUUCAAACUUUAUAUGAAUUCAUUUAGUUUUAUAUGCUUGUUUGAUGUUAUGGUGUUACUCCGAGUGUAUAUCCACACCGGGCAGGCAUAUUUUCCACCGUGGCCAGGUGGUGUAUAUAUAUAUACACUCAGAGUAACAUCACACUUGUAAGCAUCUUAUUCACCUGAGUACAUUACACCAACACAGCAAAUGAUUAUAAAAGAUUACACUGAUAUCGAAGGGACUAGAGUCAGUUCCGAAAUAUAGCAUACUCGAACUGACCUGACCGCGUAGCUCAGUUGGAAGAGCAUUGGGCUAGUACUCAAAAGGUCGUAGGUUCGAAUCCCACCGUGGCCAGGUAUAUUUUUCAAGCCUGCCUGGUGAGGAUAUACAAUCAGAGUAACAUCACACAAGCAUCUUAUUCACCUGAGUACAUUACACCAACACAGCAAAUAACAUUUAUUUAUGCCACCUGCAUGAUCAGAUGAUCUGUUUAAUAAUAUAUGUAACAACCUUUGGGCUACAUUUUAUAUAUUUGAGAUAUACACCCCAGCAAGGAUUUGAUGGUUUUUGGAAUUAUUACCCAUUGCACUGAUUCACUCCAAUGAGCCCAAUUUUCAGCACUUUGUUAAAUGUUAUCUUGCCUAAUGCCGGACAAUUUUAUUUGUCAAGGGAACUGUCUAGCUAGACUCUGCCCAUGUUUCAUGUUGAUAUAUUUAGAUACAAUUUUCCCUAACACUACCUACUGUAAGUGAUAUUCAACUCUGACAUGUCAUGCUAGACAAUUUUAUUAUCGACUGUGGACUACUUGCCCAUAUUUCACCUAUUAACACCUAACGAGCAAUUUCUUCUUAUGUUACAUACUUUAAGUUCUUUGUAGGGGUGUGCAGGGUAGAGUCUUUUUGCCCUCCAGCCAGAUAUGUUGGAUAGUUGAGGAUAUGUUGGAUAGUUGAAAAAUAUCCCUGGAGCCAGAUUCAGGGUAUUAUUCAAGUAUAUAAGGUUCAGGCCUCACUUAAUGUUAAUUUAAGUAAUCAUUUUAAUUGGUUAAAAAGUUAUGGUGUUUAUAAAAUUUUGAUUUGAAAUAAUAGGAAAGAACUUCACAGUCUAGCACUAGUAAACAUGCAUCAUUGGUAGCAAAAGCCUCACUUGCAUUAGUUUAAUGGUCAAAUCUGCAUUUACAAACAAGCAUAUAAAAUCUUGAAAGUAGUGUUUACAAGCAUUCCUGUUAUCAAUCAUUGAAUAAAAAUAUGAUAACCACCCCUGCUUUUUUAGCCUAAUCAAAUCAUCUAACCUAAUCAAAUCAUCUAACCUGCAGUAACUGUAAAUCUUGAAGGCCUGAACCUUAUGUAAAUAAUACCCAGUAUUGGGUGGCCAUGUAACACAAAAUGAACUAAAAUCUCAAUAUCUGGCCAGAUAUGAUAUCCACUGCAUCCCUAGUUAGUUGUUAUGUUUCAUUGUCUUGAAAUGCCGAACGACUUUAUUGUUAAGGGGAGAGUGUUGGUAUGACUGUACAGUAUAUUCGUAUUCAACAUACUUAUUUAAUAUAUGCACCAUUUGUACCCUUUUAUAGUUAACCCUCAGAUGUGUAAUGGCUUCCCUUCCACAUGCCCUGGGAGACCGACAGACCUACCAAAACAAGACAGGCAACCAAGGAGACUGGCAGACCCACCAAAACAAGACAGGCAAGCAUGUAAGUUUACUGAUAUUUUUCUUUGUGAUAUAAGUUAACACAUUGCGCCCUGAUGUGCCCUGCUUUAUUAUUUUACUCUGUCUAUCGCCAGAUGAUUUACUCAUCAAGGGCAGAGCUCUGGUGCUUAAUGGAUUAACUGGCCUAUCUGCCCAUGUGUCUAGUUAAUCCAUUGAGUUGCAUUGCACCGAUGUGCCUUGCUUUAUUAUUUUACUCUGUCUACUGCCAGACAAUUUACUCAUCAAGGGGAGAGCUCUGGCAUUUAAUAGGUACAGUAACUUAACUGGCCAUAUGUCUAAUAAUCUAGUUAAUCCAUUCAGUUGCAUUGUGCCAAUGCGCCCUGCUUUAAGUAUUAUUUUACUCUGUCUAACGAUUUAGUCGUAUGACAUGUGGACAGUGACUGACUGAAACAGUACAGGCUUGACUGCAGUCACUGACAAGAAGAAAAUUCAGAUCUCACAAUGUAUAUUAAUUUUACUGUAUAAACCAUAUAAUAUAAACCAUAUAAUUUCUAAACCAUUUAUAUAUUUCAUUUAUAUAUUUCUAAACCAUAUAUAUUUCUAAACCAUUUAUAAACCAUAUAAUUUCUUUUAUUAGUCCAUGCUGACAGCAAAUGCCUUAACUGAGGUGGAUAGGCACAAGAAUUUUUCAAAAUUAACUAAGAAUGCAAGAAAAAGAUUCAAUGUGAACUGGAGAAGCAGGAGAACUGUUAAGAGAACACAAACAUACAGUAUUUGUUUUUAAUAUUUUAGUAAUGAUAUUAUAUGCAUUUCUUAAUUUUAAUCUUUGGUCUUGUCCCUGCACGGUGUUACUGGUAACCCACCCCUGAUUUUUUAUUUCUGCAUGCUUUUAGUUGAGUAAUGCAUAUACAGGGUGCAUAAAAAAUGUCCCAAAUGGAUAAUUUCCUCAAAAUCACACAAAAUUUGGGAUAUUUUUUGUAACCGAGAGUAAAUAUACUGUAUGUAUAUUGUA